This 793-nucleotide long non-coding RNA is filed under the name Brassica napus (rape). Its description in RNAcentral is "long non-coding RNA (BNAP_LNC020478)". Lineage: Eukaryota; Viridiplantae; Streptophyta; Magnoliopsida; Brassicales; Brassicaceae. The record is from RNAcentral.
UUAUGUAUUUCUCAUAAGAAGAUAAUAGCAUUGGCCAGUUGACAUUUGGCAUAUAAACUAUUUUUAUAAGACAAGAUGAGUGAGCAUGUGGAAAUGUUGUUACCGCCUUUGUGUCUGUCGGGAUUGGCCCUUAUAUCUCCUGUUGUGGCUGUAUUUGUUUAUCCUUUAUUUGAUGGGUAAUAUGUAAACAAAAAUCAUUGUUAGUUGUAUUUAUCAAAGUUCAUAACUUACUCUGCCUUUUUUAUUUAGGUAAUUUCAUUGAUCUUGGUUGUCGUCUUCGUUUUCUUCGUUGCGAAAGUAAGUUUGUAAAUUGUUAAAUAGCUGGCCGUGUAGUUUGUAUUUGUUUAGAUGAGUCGAUGUAUGUGUCGUUGAGUUUUAGUUGAGGUGAUUGGUUUGGUAUAUUUGUUUUGAAGUUUAUUUCUAAGAUGAGACAAAAAAGAGAGGUGAUCAUUAAUGAUUCGUCUUUUUUUGGAAUUCUAUUUUUGGUGUUUUGAUUGUUUGAGUUGUUGUGGUUUCUUUUAAGCUGUAAAAUAAAGGUUUGUGUAAAAUUAGUUUGAUAAGUAUGAGAGAUAAAUAGACGACCACAGAAUUUGGGUAGAAAAUAUUUUUGAUUAUUGAUGUUAGCACAAUAUAGAUAAUAAUAUAAAAGGAAUUGUGUGUUGAUUGUUUCGUACGGAUCAAUGAGGAGACGAAUAACGACUUAAGUUGUUUCUUUGCUAAGGUCAGAGCCUUGGACAGAACGUAUUUGUCCAACCACAUCUGCGAGUUUAAAUAUCAGUUAUGAUAACGAAAC